This 256-nucleotide ribosomal RNA is filed under the name uncultured bacterium. RNAcentral's name for it is "partial 16S ribosomal RNA". It matches the Rfam family "Bacterial small subunit ribosomal RNA", at positions 526 to 779 of the family's 1533-position model. The record is from RNAcentral.
CGGAGGGUGCAAGCGUUGUCCGGAUUUAUUGGGUUUAAAGGGUGCGUAGGUGGUUUGAUAAAGUCCGGGGUGAAAGCCCACAGCUCAACUGUGGAACUGCCCUGGAUACUGUCAGACUUGAGGGUAGACGAGGUUGGCGGAAUAGAAGGUGUAGCGGUGAAAUGCAUAGAUACCUUCUAGAACCCCGAUUGCGUAGGCAGCUGACUAGGCUACACCUGACACUGAGGCAACGAAAGCGUGGGGAGCGAACAGGAUU